AAAUUCCAGGAGGCAAGAUGACUGUGAGAAAUAUACAUCCAGGAUUCACACAGAUAUUCCAUGAUCUUCCAAAUCAAGGUACAGUGAUAGCUACAAGGGGGUGGAACUUUGAAAUAAUCAGCAGUUCCUGGUGGCAUGUAACCAAGUAAAAACCAGUCACAGGGAGAGCCACAAAUUCCCAAGGAAGAGAAGCAAAAUGUGAAAGAGGUGCCUCUUAUUAUGAGGGGACGGGGGUGAGGGGAAGUUAUUUGUGGUGAUCCUUAGGCAGACAGAGUGAAAAUUUACAGAUUGUACAUCCCCAAACAGUGGGGAAAAUCAGGAGCCCGGAGAGCAGGAGGUGGGAUACGGAUAAAUCUGCAAAGAGAAGUCAAAGGAUGUGUUGAAGACAAGGAGAUAAAGAGAGAACUAGUGAGCAAGGCUGUAGUCAUCCUGAAAGAUACAGCAGCCAGAAUGAUUUAGGCUUCUGGGAAGGAUCCAAUGAGAAUUCAAGAGGGCAUUGCUUCGGAAAUCCUGUUCCGAUCUUGCCGCUCUCAGUUCUUUAAGAGUUACCUGCGUUGGGAACAUUAUCAUUAGGAUUAAUAGUAUUCCAUCAGUGCAUUUCACAAGGAUUUCCCUUGAACCCUUCUCUCGCUCGCAGAAACAGAAGGAGGCGCAGUGAGGAAGCCCGACACAACCAACCCUCCCCCCUCCCAAAUAAACCACUAGGGUCACUUUAGGAUGACCAAAUCAUCAGCGAUUCACACUGAAGGGGGGAAUCGGAGGGCUGAUGAUGUGGAGGAGGCCGAGUCGCUGGGCGCUUUCGGGGCGCUGUGCCCGGAGGCUCAGGCCAGGGGACAGGGAACCUUGGUUAGAGGCGGCCGCGGAGGCUGCAGGAGCCCACACAGGUCCUGCUUUCUUGGCGAGUCCUGCUGCCCGCGACUGAAGGCAAUUGACUUCCAUCCGCAAUCUCAGCUCCAAACGCCUUGCUUUAGAAGCUGGGGGAACCGUCCCUGGGGGAGCGGGUGGCAGGCUGUGAGCCUCCCGCGACCCCUCUGAUUCCUGCACAGUGCCCGAGGGAGAGUGUGCUAGAAAUGGCUUGGCUGCCGAAUGCAUUAUCUUGCCAUUUUCGUAUCCCGAUACCGCACAAACGAUCGCCUGAUCGAUCGGAACUAGGAGGGAAAGGUAGAGUGGAAAUUGAUUUCUGGCAGAGACUGAGGCGCCGAAUGAUAGAGGGAAUAAACAUUUGCCCUGGAUAAAAAUGUUCUUGGAACUUGAUGACUUAACAGCAAACUCUUGCUUCACGGCUAUUCCAUUCCUCCAGGUAGUGGACAAACCACCAUUUUUCAUCAAGAGCCAAGUUGAUUCUUCCGACUUGCUUACAUAGGGAAUGGAUAGGAGCCAAGAUGGGGAGAACUGGACAUCGAACUAGUUUCCAGAAAUAAACUAAUAAUUCAAGGACUUCUAAUAUUACAUAGUUUGAUUCAUUUAGAAUGUACUACUUAGCAAAGAGUCUUACACAUAUUAGCACCCAAUACAUGCUGAUUUGUUUAUAACAAAUACUGAUAUAGGUGUAAGGAAGUGAAUAAUGAUCAUGAAAUUUGAAGAUUAUAUGAAACAUAUAUGAUAUGAAGAAAAACUACUAAACACAAUAAGAUUAAGUGCAGAAGCCAGUGGAAAUUGGAAAAAUAUUAAAAGAAACUUGAGAUCUAAAAUGAGACCAUAAGAGACUGACUGACAGGGAGUGGGAGGAAUUUUAUUUUCAUGGAAAGAUUGAUAUGAAGCAAUUGGAGCGUUUUCUCCUUGUAUUUUGUACAAUAUUGCAAUCAAGAAAAGAAGCUGAACAUUUGCUUAAUUAGGAUGCAUCAUUAAUUUUAGUGUCUCAUGGAUCCUAAGGCCUUUCACCCCUUUAAUGAAAAUAAAAAGAAACUAAGCCACUUGAUUGCC
RNAcentral lists this long non-coding RNA (1923 nucleotides) under Equus asinus (donkey). RNAcentral describes it as "lncRNA (ENSEASG00005030653.1)". Lineage: Eukaryota; Metazoa; Chordata; Mammalia; Perissodactyla; Equidae. The record is from RNAcentral.